ACGCUCGACACCUACGGGAGGCAGCAGUCGGGAAUAUUGCGCAACGGAGGAAACUCUGACGCAGUGACGCCGCGUAUAGGAAGAAGGUUUUCGGAUUGUAAACUAUUGUCGUUAGGGAAGAGAAAGGACAGUACCUAAGGAGGAAGCUCCGGCUAACUACGUGCCAGCAGCUGCGGUAAUCUGAGCGGGCUGGCAAGGC
This 199-nucleotide ribosomal RNA is filed under the name uncultured bacterium. RNAcentral describes it as "partial 16S ribosomal RNA". It matches the Rfam family "Bacterial small subunit ribosomal RNA", at positions 328 to 539 of the family's 1533-position model. The record is from RNAcentral.